AUUGAACGCUGGCGGCAUGCCUUACACAUGCAAGUCGAACGGUAACAGGUCUUCGGAUGCUGACGAGUGGCGAACGGGUGAGUAAUACAUCGGAACGUGCCUAGUAGUGGGGGAUAACUACUCGAAAGAGUGGCUAAUACCGCAUGAGAUCUACGGAUGAAAGCAGGGGAUCGCAAGACCUUGUGCUACUAGAGCGGCCGAUGGCAGAUUAGGUAGUUGGGGGGAUAAAAGCUUACCAAGCCGACGAUCUGUAGCUGGUCUGAGAGGACGAUGAGCCACACGGGGAGUGAGACACGGCCGAGACCACGGCGGGGGACAGCAGGGGGAAAUUUGGGAAAUGGGGAGAAAGCCUGAUCCAGAAAUGCCGCGUGCAGGAAGAAGGCCUUGGGGUUGUAAACUGCUUUUGUACGAAAAGAAAAGCCCUGGUUUAAUACCCGGGGGUCAUGACGGUACCGUAAGAAUAAGCACCGGUUAACUACGUGCCAGCCGCCGCAGUAA
Molecule: ribosomal RNA, 498 nt
Filed under: uncultured bacterium
Lineage: Bacteria
Description: partial 16S ribosomal RNA
Rfam family: Bacterial small subunit ribosomal RNA
Source: RNAcentral